GAUGAACGCUGGCGGCGUGCCUAAUACAUGCAAGUCGAGCGAACAGACGAGGAGCUUGCUCCUCUGACGUUAGCGGCGGACGGGUGAGUAACACGUGGAUAACCUACCUAUAAGACUGGGAUAACUUCGGGAAACCGGAGCUAAUACCGGAUAAUAUAUUGAACCGCAUGGUUCAAUAGUGAAAUACGGUUUUGCUGUCACUUAUAGAUGGAUCCGUGCCGCAUUAGCUAGUUGGUAAGGUAACGGCUUACCAAGGCGACGAUGCGUAGCCGACCUGAGGGGGUGAUCGGCCACACUGGAACUGGGACACGGUCCAGACUCCUACGGGAGGCAGCAGUAGGGAAUCUUCCGCAAUGGGCGGAAGCCUGACGGAGCAACGCCGCGUGAGUGAUGAAGGUCUUCGGAUCGUAAAACUCUGUUAUUAGGGAAGAACAAAUGUGUAAGUAACUAUGCACGUCUUGACGGUACCUAAUCAGAAAGCCACGGCUAACUACGUG
This 497-nucleotide ribosomal RNA is filed under the name uncultured bacterium. RNAcentral describes it as "partial 16S ribosomal RNA". It matches the Rfam family "Bacterial small subunit ribosomal RNA", at positions 28 to 507 of the family's 1533-position model. The record is from RNAcentral.